UGGGGAAUCUUGGUCAAUGGGCGAAAGCCUGAACCAGCGAUUCUGCGUGAAGGAUGAAGCCUCGCGGGGUGUAAACUUCUUUUCUGGGGGAAGACGAAUGACGGUACCCCAAGAAUAAGGGACGGCUAACUACGUGCCAGCAGCCGCGGUAAUACGUAGGUCCCAAGCGUUAUCCGGAUUUACUGGGCGUAAAGAGUCUGUAGCUGGUUAUACAAGUCUAUUUUCAAAGACCUUGGCUCAACUAAGGGAAGGGAAUGGAUACUGUAUAUCUGGAGGUUAUUAGGGGUUAGUAGAAUUCCCGGUGGAGGGGUGAAAUCCGUUGAUAUUGGGAGGAAUGCCAAAAGCGAAAGCAGCUAACUAUAAUUAUCCUGACAGUGAGAGACGAAAGCAUGGGUAGCAA
Molecule: ribosomal RNA, 400 nt
Filed under: uncultured bacterium
Lineage: Bacteria
Description: bacterial SSU rRNA
Rfam family: Bacterial small subunit ribosomal RNA
Source: RNAcentral